Molecule: ribosomal RNA, 440 nt
Filed under: uncultured bacterium
Lineage: Bacteria
Description: partial 16S ribosomal RNA
Rfam family: Bacterial small subunit ribosomal RNA
Source: RNAcentral
CCUACGGGAGGCAGCAGUGGGGGAUAUUGCACAAUGGGGGAAACCCUGAUGCAGCGACGCCGCGUGGGUGAAGAAGCGCCUCGGCGCGUAAAGCCCUGUCAGCCGGGAAGAAAAUGACGGUACCUGAAGAAGAAGCCCCGGCUAACUACGUGCCAGCAGCCGCGGUAAUACGUAGGGGGCAAGCGUUAUCCGGAUUUACUGGGUGUAAAGGGGGAGCAGACGGCGAUGCAAGCCAGGAGUGAAAGCCCGGGGCCCAACCCCGGGACUGCUCUUGGAACUGGGUGGCUAGAGUGCAGGAGGGGCAGGCGGAAUUCCGGGUGUAGCGGUGAAAUGCGUAGAUAUGAGGAGGAACACCGGUGGCGAAGGCGGCCUGCUGGACUGCAACUGACGUUGAGGCCCGAAAGCGUGGGGAGCAAACAGGAUUAGAUACCCUUGUAGUC